RNAcentral lists this long non-coding RNA (455 nucleotides) under Phaseolus vulgaris (common bean). RNAcentral's name for it is "long non-coding RNA (PVUL_LNC004995)". Lineage: Eukaryota; Viridiplantae; Streptophyta; Magnoliopsida; Fabales; Fabaceae. The record is from RNAcentral.
UACAAGUUAUGUUCAAUUAAAUUGAAAGAAGUAGUUCAAAGAGCUCUCAACACUCAAUGUUUAUAUGUUUGAAGAAAAAAUGUAGAAUUUGUUUGAAAUAAAAAUAAAGAAGAACUCAAAAGAAAGAAGAAAAACUAGUAGUAAUGCAUUCAACAAUCAUGUUUUUCAGCUUAGAAAAAUUUGCAAAUUUUAGGUCUACUUCUAAUGAGUUGAUGACUUCUAAAUGACUAAAACAAUUCUAAAAAACAUUGAAGAUUCAGAAAUUCAAAUCUAAGAAAGGAAAGAAACCAAAAUCAACUAGAUCGUAAAACUAGACUAAAACAUACAAUAGAAAAUCCUAGAACUAGGGUUCCUCUUCCAAGAAAGAUUUCUUGGAGAAGAUCCUUUAAAAGAAUACUUCCAAUUUUGGAGACCUCAAAGAAUAAGAGUGCAUUCAUUUUGCAACCCAAUUCUUA